Molecule: ribosomal RNA, 1346 nt
Filed under: uncultured bacterium
Lineage: Bacteria
Description: partial 16S ribosomal RNA
Rfam family: Bacterial small subunit ribosomal RNA
Source: RNAcentral
GACGAACGCUGGCGGCGUGCUUAACACAUGCAAGUCGAACGGAAAGGCCCUGCUUUUGCGGGGUGCUCGAGUGGCGAACGGGUGAGUAACACGUGAGUAACCUGCCCUUGACUUUGGGAUAACUUCAGGAAACUGGGGCUAAUACCGGAUAGGAGCUCCUGCUGCAUGGUGGGGGUUGGAAAGUUUCGGCGGUUGGGGAUGGACUCGCGGCUUAUCAGCUUGUUGGUGGGGUAGUGGCUUACCAAGGCUUUGACGGGUAGCCGGCCUGAGAGGGUGACCGGCCACAUUGGGACUGAGAUACGGCCCAGACUCCUACGGGAGGCAGCAGUGGGGAAUAUUGCACAAUGGGCGGAAGCCUGAUGCAGCAACGCCGCGUGCGGGAUGACGGCCUUCGGGUUGUAAACCGCUUUCGCCUGUGACGAAGCGUGAGUGACGGUAAUGGGUAAAGAAGCACCGGCUAACUACGUGCCAGCAGCCGCGGUGAUACGUAGGGUGCGAGCGUUGUCCGGAUUUAUUGGGCGUAAAGGGCUCGUAGGUGGUUGAUCGCGUCGGAAGUGUAAUCUUGGGGCUUAACCCUGAGCGUGCUUUCGAUACGGGUUGACUUGAGGAAGGUAGGGGAGAAUGGAAUUCCUGGUGGAGCGGUGGAAUGCGCAGAUAUCAGGAGGAACACCAGUGGCGAAGGCGGUUCUCUGGGCCUUUCCUGACGCUGAGGAGCGAAAGCGUGGGGAGCGAACAGGCUUAGAUACCCUGAUAGUCCACGCUGUAAACGGUGGGUACUAGGUGUGGGGUCCAUUCCACGGGUUCCGUGCCGUAGCUAACGCUUUAAGUACCCCGCCUGGGGAGUACGGCCGCAAGGCUAAAACUCAAAGGAAUUGACGGGGCCCCGCACAAGCGGCGGAGCAUGCGGAUUAAUUCGAUGCAACGCGUAGAACCUUACCUGGGUUUGACAUGGAUCGGGAGUGCUCAGAGAUGGGUGUGCCUCUUUUGGGGUCGGUUCACAGGUGGUGCAUGGCUGUCGUCAGCUCGUGUCGUGAGAUGUUGGGUUAAGUCCCGCAACGAGCGCAACCCUUGUUCACUGUUGCCAGCACGUUAUGGUGGGGACUCAGUGGAGACCGCCGGGGUCAACUCGGAGGAAGGUGGGGAUGACGUCAAGUCAUCAUGCCCCUUAUGUCCAGGGCUUCACGCAUGCUACAAUGGCUGGUACAGAGAGUGGCGAGCCUGCGAGGGUGAGCGAAUCUCGGAAAGCCGGUCUCAGUUCGGAUUGGGGUCUGCAACUCGACCUCAUGAAGUCGGAGUCGCUAGUAAUCGCAGAUCAGCAACGCUGCGGUGAAUACGUUCCCGGGGCU